UGAGUAACGCGUAUCCAACUCCCUAGUAGGCAUAGCCCGGCGAAAGUCGGAUUAAUACCCUAUGUUAUCCGAAGAGGACAUCUGAAUUGGAUUAAAGAUUUAUCGCUAAGGGAUGGGGAUGCGUCUGAUUAGGUAGUCGGCGGGGUAACGGCCACCGAGCCUGCGAUCAGUAGGGGUUCUGAGAGGAAGGUCCCCCACAUUGGAACUGAGACACGGUCCAAACUCCUACGGGAGGCAGCAGUGAGGAAUAUUGGUCAAUGGGCGCGAGCCUGAACCAGCCAAGUAGCGUGCAGGUAAUGACGGCCCUAUGGGUUGUAAACUGUCUUUUAUGCGGGGAUAAAGUGCACCACGUGUGGUGUUUUGUAGGUACCGCAUGAAUAAGGACCGGCUAAUUCCGUGCCAGCAGCAGC
RNAcentral lists this ribosomal RNA (410 nucleotides) under uncultured bacterium. RNAcentral's name for it is "bacterial SSU rRNA". It matches the Rfam family "Bacterial small subunit ribosomal RNA", at positions 107 to 518 of the family's 1533-position model. The record is from RNAcentral.